UAGUUUGGUUUAAUUAAAGAAUAAUGGAAUGUCUUUGUGUUAGUUAUGUUUUGAAAACGUGUGAAUUGACGAAAAUUAAUUAAGCCGGCAUGCUUUCAUUGUCUGGUCAAAGAUUUAUUAAUAAGACAAACGGUAUGACAGUUUGGCGUGAUUAAAGAAUAAAUAAGGUAACACGCUUAACCAGACAACAAUGCUGUUUGCAAAGUAAUUAUAAGGGCUGACUAUAUAUAAAGAGGGUAUCUGAAUGAGCCCAAAGUAUGUGUUUUGUUUGUGUCGGACAAUACUAUUUGUGACUUGGAAUACGAUUGCUAUAUAGUUGUGUGGGUUUCAGUGCAUCUGCCAUGUGUUCAAACAUAUAUGUGCUUAUUUGAUGUCGGAUACAAUAAUUUUCUAGUGUUAGUUAGUUUUGUGUUUGUGUUUCUGCAAUGGCAGAAGUGGCAAAUUGUAUACAUUGUGGAAAGACAGUUGGGCAGAGGCAACGUGCUGUUUUUUGCGAUGCCUGCGAGCGAUGGCAACACAUAGGCUGUGAUUCUGGUAUAUCCCUGGCAGAAUACAAAGCAGCAACAAGAGGCGAAAGAGAAAUUCACUUUCUAUGUGCAGAAUGUUGCAGAAGCAUUCCCACUAUUCAUAGUGUGCCUGAGGACGAAAGGGUAUCACAUGUUGACCCAGAUUUAACACAAUUAGUAGAACCUGAUAGUGCUGACGCGACAUUUCUGAAUGGGGACGUUUAUUCUCCUAUGGCCGCCCCGGUUGCAGAAUCAACAGUAAUCCAUCACGUAAGUAUAUUAUAUAAUAUUCCCUUCCGCGAAUUAGUUUGAUUAUAAUUGUGCGGUUCUGACGAUAUUAAACAGCUGAUAUUAGAAUAUAAUUUUAUUUCAUACACAUUACUUUCCGUUUUACGCGACAACGAAGGAAGAACACGUCUCUCCAGGGAAAAAUCUUCAAGCUGUGGGAAGCGUACGAGAGCGGAGAAUUGUCAGUCAACGGCCUACUGAGGAAAUGCAGUGGCAUUUAUGGACCAAAUGCAUGAACGUUGCUCAUUUGAUGUCUUUCUGAUUGUUGGAAAUGUUUCAACCCUUGUUUUUGAAAAGCUUGUUUGUGUGUGAAAGUUACUGUGUGUUUGUAAUGUUUUACCAUUAUUAUAUUUUUUAAAUGUUUGAUAAUAUUCAUCAUUUACGGACCAAAUGCCUGCCUGAAAGUUGCUAGAUUGAAUUGAAAUAAAUUAUUGCUCAUUUGUUGUUUUUUUUUCUUCUGAUUGUUAGAAAUGUUUCAACCAUUGUGUUUAAAAGCUUGUUUCUGUGUGAAAGUUUGUGUUUAAUUAUUACGGAUGUUUGAAAUGUUUGAUAAUAUUCAUCAUGGCUCAUUACAACCUGUGUUUGUAAUGUUUUAAAAGUAUUAAAGAUGUUGGAAAUGUUUGAUAAUAUUUUGUGAAAGUUUGUGUUAAUUAUUACGGAUGUUUGAAAUGUUUGAUAUUAUUCAUCAAGGCUCAUUACAAACUGUGUUUUUAAAUUAUUUUUAAAAUGAGUUAAUAAAUGGAAAUGUUUGAUAAUAUUUUGAAUUGUCUUUUCAUUCAUAA
This is a long non-coding RNA of Dreissena polymorpha, 1576 nucleotides long. RefSeq lists it as uncharacterized. The record is from RefSeq and is a predicted model, not a curated record. NCBI's taxonomy places the organism in Eukaryota, Metazoa, Mollusca, Bivalvia, Myida, Dreissenidae. The transcript has 3 exons.